AUUGAACGCUGGCGGCAGGCUUAACACAUGCAAGUCGAGCGGUAACAGAGAGAAGCUUGCUUCUCUGCUGACGAGCGGCGGACGGGUGAGUAAUGCCUAGGAAUCUGCCUAGUAGUGGGGGAUAACUUGCCGAAAGGUAAGCUAAUACCGCAUACGUCCUACGGGAGAAAGGAGGGGACCUUCGGGCCUUUCGCUAUUAGAUGAGCCUAGGUCGGAUUAGUUAGUUGGUGAGGUAAUGGCUCACCAAGACCGCGAUCCGUAACUGGUCUGAGAGGAUGAUCAGUCACACUGGAACUGAGACACGGUCCAGACUCCUACGGGAGGCAGCAGUGGGGAAUAUUGGACAAUGGGGGGAACCCUGAUCCAGCCAUGCCGCGUGUGUGAAGAAGGUCUUAGGAUUGUAAAGCACUUUAAGUUGGGAGGAAGAGUAGUUAACUAAUAUUUGACUGUUUUGACGUUACCGACAGAAUAGCACCGGCUAACUUCGUGCCAGCCGCCGCGGUAA
Molecule: ribosomal RNA, 505 nt
Filed under: uncultured bacterium
Lineage: Bacteria
Description: partial 16S ribosomal RNA
Rfam family: Bacterial small subunit ribosomal RNA
Source: RNAcentral